GGAGGGUGGGGGCAGCGAUGCAGGCAGGCAGGCUAACGCAGAAAGAAAGCACACGGUGUGUAGGAGCAACAGGUGAUAAGUGCAUAUGAAAACAAGUCUGAACCUUCCUGCGUUAGCACUGGGGAUGGAAGUAAAAAUAAAUCGAGGAGUUAAAUCAAGGAUCUCAAGCUGAGACAUGAAAAGUGGUGUUCUUGGAUGUGGAAGCUGGAGAGGAGGCAUUUGCUGGGGAGAUGACGGUGUGAAGCUAACCUAGAAAUAUAAAGAAAAAGAAGAGAGAAGAGGGAUUAAUUUGAGGUAGUUCAGCUAGGUCUUUGGAGGGUGUUAAAUGCCUAUGGCCAGAGGAAUCAGACCACAGCAGGCAUCCCUCGGAUGGAACACGUAAGUCUGCUUAGUCACUGGCUAGCUUAGUCUGUCCUGGCUACACAGUAGACUGGAUAGCUUACAAUCAGCAAACACUCAUUUCUGGGAGUCACCUGGGUUAAGAAGUUUGU
Long non-coding RNA from Peromyscus leucopus (white-footed mouse), 491 nucleotides. RefSeq lists it as uncharacterized. The record is from RefSeq and is a predicted model, not a curated record. NCBI's taxonomy places the organism in Eukaryota, Metazoa, Chordata, Mammalia, Rodentia, Cricetidae. The transcript has 3 exons.